AUUGAACGCUGGCGGCAGGCCUAACACAUGCAAGUCGGACGGUAGCACAGAGAGCUUGCUCUCGGGUGACGAGUGGCGGACGGGUGAGUAAUGUCUGGGAAACUGCCCGAUGGAGGGGGAUAACUACUGGAAACGGUAGCUAAUACCGCAUAACGUCUUCGGACCAAAGUGGGGGACCUUCGGGCCUCACACCAUCGGAUGUGCCCAGAUGGGAUUAGCUCGUAGGUGGGGUAAUGGCUCACCUAGGCGACGAUCCCUAGCUGGUCUGAGAGGAUGAGCAGCCACACUGGAACUGAGACACGGUCCAGACUCCUACGGGAGGCAGCAGUGGGGAAUAUUGCACAAUGGGCGCAAGCCUGAUGCAGCCAUGCCGCGUGUAUGAAGAAGGCCUUCGGGUUGUAAAGUACUUUCAGCGGGGAGGAAGGCGAUGAGGUUAAUAACCGCAUCGAUUGACGUUACCCGCAGAAGAAGCACCGGCUAACUCCGUGCCAGCCGCCGCAGUAA
Molecule: ribosomal RNA, 504 nt
Filed under: uncultured bacterium
Lineage: Bacteria
Description: partial 16S ribosomal RNA
Rfam family: Bacterial small subunit ribosomal RNA
Source: RNAcentral